RNAcentral lists this ribosomal RNA (404 nucleotides) under uncultured bacterium. RNAcentral describes it as "bacterial SSU rRNA". It matches the Rfam family "Bacterial small subunit ribosomal RNA", at positions 355 to 776 of the family's 1533-position model. The record is from RNAcentral.
UGGGGAAUAUUGGACAAUGGGCGAAAGCCUGAUCCAGCAAUACCGCGUGAGUGAUGAAGGCCUUAGGGUUGUAAAGCUCUUUUAGUAGGGAAGAUAAUGACGGUACCUACAGAAAAAGCACCGGCUAACUCCGUGCCAGCAGCCGCGGUAAGACGGAGGGUGCUAGCGUUGUUCGGAAUUACUGGGCGUAAAGAGCGCGUAGGCGGCCUGAUAAGUUGGAAGUGAAAGCCCGGGGCUUAACCUCGGAACUGCUUUCAAAACUAUUGGGCUAGAGUAUGGUAGAGGGUGAUAGAAUUCCUAGUGUAGAGGUGAAAUUCUUAGAUAUUAGGGGGAAUACCGGUGGCGAAGGCGGUCACCUGGGCCAUUACUGACGCUGAGGCGCGAAAGCGUGGGGAGCAAACAGG